This is a small nucleolar RNA of Juglans regia (Persian walnut), 139 nucleotides long. RefSeq annotates it as small nucleolar RNA Z247. The transcript has a single exon. Lineage: Eukaryota; Viridiplantae; Streptophyta; Magnoliopsida; Fagales; Juglandaceae. The record is from RefSeq and is a predicted model, not a curated record.
CCUCUAUCAGACAAUGAAUUAAUCAACUAUAUACUAGCUGAUCUUAGGUUUGAAUAUGAUCCUCUCAUCACUUCUCUUACUACAAGGUUUGACCCCAUGUCUCUUCAAAAAGUAAAUGGUCACCUUCUUACAUAUGAGC